UGCACUUUUUUUUUACCAGACUGCCCACUACUCCCAACUCCAGCUGCCAACUGGUCCUCCUGUACUGGCCCGCACAAGAGAUUUACAAAGAUGGCACAGACAAAGAACACAGGGAAUCCAUCCUGAACCUGCCAGCGAGGUGGUGGUGGUGCGAAAGCCCAAAACUGUGGUGAAAAGAUGUUUGCACUCCACGCUUUACAGAGCUUUCACAGGACCACUUCCAGAUCCUGACAUCCUGGCAUCGGGAGAAAAACAGCACCAGCUGGCAUCUCAACCAC
Molecule: long non-coding RNA, 278 nt
Organism: Nematolebias whitei (Rio pearlfish)
Lineage: Eukaryota; Metazoa; Chordata; Actinopteri; Cyprinodontiformes; Rivulidae
Exons: 3
Source: RefSeq, a predicted model, not a curated record